This 5082-nucleotide long non-coding RNA is filed under the name Mus musculus (house mouse). RNAcentral describes it as "predicted gene, 33622, transcript variant 2 (Gm33622)". The record is from RNAcentral. Lineage: Eukaryota; Metazoa; Chordata; Mammalia; Rodentia; Muridae.
GUAUUGGAUUGUGUAAGAUGUGAGCUCUCUGCUUCUUAGUCACCCUGUGACUUAACUACCUGUCUUGCCGUCUUCUUGUCCCAGAAUUAAGCAACUUCGGCCCCUCCUUUCCUUCCCUGUGAUAGACUUUGCACUCUCAACCAUGAGCGUCAGUCAGUCAUCCCUCCCUCCCUCCCCUCUCUCCCUUCCCUCCCUCCUUCCUCUCCCCCUACCCCCUACUUCCUCAAGUUGCCUUCUUCUUGUCUAGAAAAAUAAGUAAGAGACUCUUAGGAUGGAAGAAGGAUGAAAACUCAGCCGAGGAAGUUCUUCUUGGGGCUCUGAAUCCUGGGUACUAUUUGGGGAUGCAUUUGCAUUUCUGGAAUCUAUGGGUGUCGAGAUGGUCAGAGAGCUACCAUAUUAGAGCAGAAAAACAUAACAAGGGAAGAGAUGCAACUUAGGGAGAUGACGGAGACAUCUGUCGGCGGACCUGAGUUCCCAGCACCUAAGUCAGGAUGCUCGCGACUUCUGUGAUGCCAGCUCCAAGGGAUCUAACGCCCUCUUCUGGACUCCAGGGAUCCCUGUAGCAUAGAGGAGGGUGAGCGGCAACCUUGGAUACACUCAAACCGCUCGGGAACGGAUGCUCAUCUCACCUGCCAGCCUCCUGCAAUGCCAAGUUGUUCUGCGGCCCAACUGGCGUUGUAACCAAUGAAUUCAAGCCCUGCCAAUCAAACAGCUACCGCAUCAGAAACAGGCUUACCUUUUACCAUGGACCAAUGAUGCUGUCACAUUCCAAGUCCAUCAGGAUGAAUCCAUUCACAUCAGAGCAGCCAUAUUUCACUGGACCUUUGAGACAGCCUCACAGACACCAGCAGCGGGAGCGUGGGCAUGAAGUGUGUUCUCAUGCGCACAGGACCUGGGACUCAGCCGGGAAAGCGGAUGCCAGUGUGACUGUGACAGGCAGAUGAGGCUAUCAGUUGGAAAAGUCAGGUGAUAGAGUCUCGCAGACUCUUACUUCAGGUAGGUGUGGGCACCCCAGAAGACCACUCAGUGUGUGGAAUGCUGCCUUCACACCAGUGUGAAGACAUCGGUUGCCACCUCCACAGUCUUGAGUUGCUCCCCCCCAGAGGGAAUGUUGUGAUGUGUGGGCAGGUGGGUGAAAGAGAACCUGCCAUGGGCCCACAGGCCAAGGGUUAAUUUAUAGCUUGCAACCUUGAUGUUGCCUUGUGUUAGUGACAACCACCACAAUCCCGUGGUUAGCUCCAUUUGGCAGCUUGAUCGUGUGCCACGCGUGAAAGAGAUGCUAUGCUAUGCAGCAGGAAUCGAUCUUGCAGGCUGGCCUCCUGAACUGAAAAGCAGGACAGACCCAUGCGUGAAGUCAGGGGCUCCCUGGGGCAUCUAGUAGGCUGCAGGUAUGAGAUAGAGGAUGAAGAAUGCCCGUAAGGGACAAUCAACAUGGGGUUCAUGGGUUCCUCAUUGGCCUUGGGCAUCUCAACCCAGUCACUUCUACAAGUGUCACGAGAGGAGGAGGGGACUUUACAAAGGUGGAUCCCCCUUCUGCAUUUCAGGGUGUUCCUGUUCUUCUCGGGUGACUUACAUGCUGUUCACCCCCUCUCCUGUGCUAACCCAUCCCUUGUGGUGCCCCAAGGAGAUAAGGACCUCUGUUGGCUCCCUCAUUUCUUUCGUGUUUGUGGCUACUGAGGCACAGAGGUUACCUGGUUGCCAUGGUAACUUGGUGGACAGCUGAUGUCCAAGGUUGCCUUCUCCCGCUGUAAUAAACACCACGACCAAAAGCGACCUGAGGAAGAAAGAGUUUAUUUCGUCCUUCAGUUUACAGCCUCUCAUGAAGGAAGCCAUGACAGAAGCUCAAAGUAGGAGCGGAAGGCAGGGCCAUGAGGGAUGCUGCUUACUGGCUUGCUUUCCCAUGGCAUGUUCUGCCCUGGCUUACAGAUACAGGACAGGCCCACCUGCCUUGGUGUGGCACCGCCCACAGUGGGCGGCGCCCUCCCAUGUCAAUCAUUAACCAAGAAACUGCCCCACAGACUUGCCUACAGGUCAUUCUGAGGGCGACAAUUUCUCAGCUGAGGUUCCCUCUUCCCAGGUACAUCCCCCGGGUUGUUUCACGUUGUUUCAUGUUGAGAAACACCAACCGGAACAGUAGUUGGCUGGUGUUUCAGUGACCUGGCACCCGAGAUGCGCCGCCCUGCCCCUCCCCAUUCCCACCGCGGUUCAUGUCUCCUGAUCUGAACUUUGCUAUCUGCUAAGGAUGAGAGAGUUGUGCAGGGCCAUGCUUCUUUUGUGUAUAUCCUACUGCCGUGCGAGCAUAUGACCUUGCACUGGGUCGCCGGUGCUUGUCUCUCCACCCAGAAUUCUCUCCUCCUCUUGUAACAACCUUUUGAUGUUUCCCGAAGCCAUCUUGUCCAAAUGGGCAUGGGCAAAGUGUGAUUCUUUGCACGGCAGAAGCCAAGGGACUCCUACAGAUAUCUGAAUGGGAAAUGUCCCACAUAGAUUCAAAUAUUUGAACUUAUGGUCCUCAGUCAUUGGCACUUUUAGGCAGUGGAACCUUGCCAAAGGAAGUAUGUCAUUGGGGGCAGGCUUUUAUGGUAUAUAGCCUCACCUCUCUUCCUGUCAUCCCCCCUCCUCCAUCUCCUGCAGCUUCUGAAUUGCUAGGAUAGCCUCUAGCUCCCCCUGCCAUGCCUUCCUGGUGUUACAGAAGUCUGCCAUUUGGAACCAUUAGCCAGGGUGGUCAACCUUUUCUUCCUUAAGUUGCUUUUGCUCAUGGUAUUUUAUCAGAACAAACUCAAAGUAACUAAUAUGUGUCACUUCCGGAACUUUCUCAUUCCAUUGCAGGCCAACAUGGGCAAAGUUGCUACCUGUGAUGGUUUGGAUAUGAAGUGUCCCCCAAAAGACACUUGUUGAGGGUUUAGUCCCCAGGUGGUGGGGGCUGAUCCCCUCUGUCCUCUGCCCUGAGCCUGCUGUGAUUGCUUCGUGAGAGCGAUGACCCAAUCACGAUGCAGUGAACCAGCCUGCUGCACCAUGUCCCCUGAAAUACCCUGCCCCAUGCUGUUCUGUUCUAACCAGGAACCACAUCUCUGAACCUGUGAGUCAAAGCAGGCUUUCCUUUCUUUCUUAAUUCCUGAGGGUUUUGAAAAGUAACACAUUCUCUCAGCACAGGCCGGCCAGCCUCUCAUCAGCACCAGGCAGCACGGUGAACAUGGUCCGAAGACAGUGGUUCCUUCUGGAUGCUCCACGUUAUUUAUUUAUUGGGUUGUUUCCAUUAUUUAUUUAUUUAUUGCGUGUGUGUUGGGGGCACAUGAGGACAUGCAUGGCAUGGCAUACGUGUGGAGGUCAGACGACAACUUGCAGGGGACACUUCUCUCCUUUGGGUCCCAGGAAUGAGGUUCUGGUGGUGAAUCUCGGCAGUAAGUGAUUUUACCUGCUGGGCCAUCUCACAGUCCCAAACAUCUAUCCUGCUUUCUAGCUCAUGUCUCCUGUAACCUCUUCUUCUGGAGUCUUCCUCUUCUGACCCGUAUGCCCUUUUGCCCACUCUGUAUCUCCUUCUUCACCCAAUAUUACCCUCUCUUGGCUCUCUUUUCUACGUUUUUAAGACUUCUCGAACAUUGUUUACCUAUGCACAGGUGUGUAUUGCAGGCUAAGACCUGCGUAUGAGGGAGUGCGUCUGGUUUUUUUUAUCAUCCUGAAUUUGGGCUACCUCACUUGAUGCUUUCCAAAUCUGUCCAUUUUCCUGUGUUCGUUUUCUAUGACGGCUGAAUAAUAUUCCACUGUGUAUGUAGGUAUCACAUCUUCGUGGCUGCUUGUCUGUUGAUGGCCAUCCUGGUUGAUCCCAUCUCCUCGCUGUUCUGAAUAGGGCAACGGUAGCACUGGUUGUCCAAGUGUCUCUGUGGGGACAUAGGGAGUCCUUUGGAUUUAUGCCCAGGAGGGGCCUCGCUGGGUCAUACGGUAGAUCUACUUUUAAUGUCUAGAGGAACCUCCCGGGCCUUACUGUGGCCCCGCCUCUUCUCUUCUAUGUCAGCCUUGCUCUGUUAACAAGCAGGUCUUCCUCUGACUUGGUCCAUUCGUGCUUGUGGCAUGAUGCUGCUCUUCCUCUAUUCAAGUGGUCGAGCCACUUUAAAGGCAGAUGUUGGAGCAUAAACAGAUGAGGUGCUCAUGUGAUCAAGACGUGGAAGGGUAGACCCUGGGCGCAAGCCCCGAGACACUCCACUCAUAGAAAAGUUCCAUGUGCGUGGCUCUUUGGGAACCUUUUUUUUUUGGGGGGGGGAACCCCCUGUGGUUGACUUUCUGACUAUGUGCCAGCCAGAGUCCCUCAACUGAGCAGCUUCAAAUACUUUCCCUUUGGCGGGCUGUACUGAUUAAGAUUAAUGGCCGCACGCAAGUUGCUCUGCUGAAAUAUGAUGAUUCGGCGCUCUCCACACCUCCCUGCUGCCUAAAGAUGGUUUUAAAUUUGGUAGUUUUUAAAUUUGGCAGGCUUUCCUUUCUUUCUUAAUUCCUGAGGGUUUUGAAAAGUAACGCAUUCUCUCAGCGCAGGCCGGUCAGCCUCUCAUCAGCACCAGGCAGCACAGUGAACAUGGUCCGAAGGGCCUGCCAUCAGCCCCUAAGAUGACGUAGCAGCUCUGACCUGAGCAUAAAGGAGAUGAGGGUUGGAGGCCCCUAAAUGUGUCUCCAUCAUCCGUGCCCCUGGAGUCAGGGUAGCAAGAUAGCAUUUCCAAACAAAGGGACUUGUCUGAAUAAGGAGAGUGACACGCGGUUGAAGUCUUGGUGUUCUCUGAGAAGAAAAGGAUGUUUUAAAAAAGGCUAAGCCACAGAAUUUCACUGGAGUGGUUGAUGGAGGUGGCGGUGCUAACAAAGAGCGCGCUGAUUUAAAGGACUAUAUUCUCAGUACAGUUGAUUUUAUCCAGCAAAGCCAAGACACAGCAUUUUCUGGAAAUAGGUCAAAUUCUGCAUGUUUUGUAUACAUAGCAUGCCUCACUAGAGGGCGCUAUUUAGUUGUGUAUUUAACAUUUUCUUUUUUUCCUUUCUUUUUUCUUUCUUUCUUUCUUUCUUUUUUUUUUUUUUUACAAAAAUAAUAAAAAUGACGAUGGCCCAGGC